This 497-nucleotide ribosomal RNA is filed under the name uncultured bacterium. RNAcentral's name for it is "partial 16S ribosomal RNA". It matches the Rfam family "Bacterial small subunit ribosomal RNA", at positions 28 to 507 of the family's 1533-position model. The record is from RNAcentral.
GACGAACGCUGGCGGCGUGCCUAAUACAUGCAAGUUGAGCGCUGAAGGUUGGUACUUGUACCAACUGGAUGAGCAGCGAACGGGUGAGUAACGCGUGGGGAAUCUGCCUUUGAGCGGGGGACAACAUUUGGAAACGAAUGCUAAUACCGCAUAAAAACUUUAAACACAAGUUUUAAGUUUGAAAGAUGCAAUUGCAUCACUCAAAGAUGAUCCCGCGUUGUAUUAGCUAGUUGGUGAGGUAAAGGCUCACCAAGGCGAUGAUACGUAGCCGACCUGAGAGGGUGAUCGGCCACAUUGGGACUGAGACACGGCCCAAACUCCUACGGGAGGCAGCAGUAGGGAAUCUUCGGCAAUGGACGAAAGUCUGACCGAGCAACGCCGCGGGAGUGAAGAAGGUUUUCGGAUCGUAAAACUCUGUUGGUAGAGAAGAACGUUGGUGAGAGUGGAAAGCUCAUCAAGUGACGGUAACUACCCAGAAAGGGACGGCUAACUACGUG